This 524-nucleotide long non-coding RNA is filed under the name Trifolium pratense (red clover). Its description in RNAcentral is "long non-coding RNA (TPRA_LNC000522)". The record is from RNAcentral. Lineage: Eukaryota; Viridiplantae; Streptophyta; Magnoliopsida; Fabales; Fabaceae.
CAAUCUUAUUCUAUGCAUUUCUCAAUAUAUUACUUUUUUUUUGGCAUGGAGGAACACACUACAAGACACCUUCCAAAAAUAGAAUGUGUAUAAUUUUUCCCAACCUACACCAUGACAAUCGGUUACAUGGGAAAUCAACAAUUAUUUUUUUCAAGAAAACAAAAGAAAAAAAAACACUAAUAAAAUCCCUAUAUAGGAGAAGUGGAACAAAACUUAAUUAUUAAAAAAAUAAAAAUACAGAAGCCAAAGAAUCAGAGAAAAGUGGAGAUGCUGAAACUGAGCUGAACUCAAUAUUGGCAAGGAGGCACUUUCCUUAAAGAAAAUUUGAUUCCAACGUCAAAAGUUUCCGGUACUUUUUUUAUUUUAUUUUUUUGUCAGAAAAUAAACUACUUUAUCUUAAAGACACGUAUGUGGUGGGGAAAUACUUACUUAGGAAAGAGUAUCUAUAAAAGAUGAGAAAUAGAAUAGAUUUAAGGUUUAAUUAGUCUAUUCGUUUCUUAAAGAAAUUUUAGGUUUCACAAUAG